AUGCACUACGGUGCAGAAGUAGUUGAUGCCAAGCUUCCAGGAAAAGCCUCUAAGCAUCAGGUAACACAGAAUCGUACCCCAAACCGACACAGGUGGUCAGGUAGAGAAUACCAAGGCGCUUGAGAGAACUCGGGUGAAGGAACUAGGCAAAAUGGUGCCGUAACUUCGGGAGAAGGCACGCUGGCGCGUAGGUGAAGAGACUUGCUCUCGGAGCUGAAGCCAGUCGCAGAUACCAGCUGGCUGCAACUGUUUAAUAAAAACACAGCACUGUGCAAACACGAAAGUGGACGUAUACGGUGUGACGCCUGCCCGGUGCUGGAAGGUUAAUUGAUGGGGUCAGCCGCAAGGCGAAGCUCUUGAUCGAAGCCCCAGUAAACGGCGGCCGUAACUAUAACGGUCCUAAGGUAGCGAAAUUCCUUGUCGGGUAAGUUCCGACCUGCACGAAUGGCGUAAUGAUGGCCAGGCUGUCUCCACCCGAGACUCAGUGAAAUUGAACUCGCUGUGAAGAUGCAGUGUACCCGCGGCAAGACGGAAAGACCCCGUGAACCUUUACUAUAGCUUGACACUGAACAUUGAGCCUUGAUGUGUAGGAUAGGUGGGAGGCUUUGAAGCGUGGACGCCAGUCUGCGUGGAGCCAACCUUGAAAUACCACCCUUUAAUGUUUGAUGUUCUAACUCGGCCCCGUAAUCCGGGGUGAGGACAGUGUCUGGUGGGUAGUUUGACUGGGGCGGUCUCCUCCCAAAGAGUAACGGAGGAGCACGAAGGUUAGCUAAUCACGGUCGGACAUCGUGAGGUUAGUGCAAAGGCAUAAGCUAGCUUGACUGCGAGAGUGACGGCUCGAGCAGGUACGAAAGUAGGUCUUAGUGAUCCGGUGGUUCUGAAUGGAAGGGCCAUCGCUCAACGGAUAAAAGGUACUCCGGGGAUAACAGGCUGAUACCGCCCAAGAGUUCAUAUCGACGGCGGUGUUUGGCACCUCGAUGUCGGCUCAUCACAUCCUGGGGCUGAAGUAGGUCCCAAGGGUAUGGCUGUUCGCCAUUUAAAGUGGUACGCGAGCUGGGUUUAGAACGUCGUGAGACAGUUCGGUCCCUAUCUGCCGUGGGCGUUGGAAGAUUGAGAGGGGUUGCUCCUAGUACGAGAGGACCGGAGUGAACGCACCACUGGUGUUCGGGUUGUCAUGCCAAUGGCACUGCCCGGUAGCUAAGUGCGGAAAAGAUAAGCGCUGAAAGCAUCUAAGCGCGAAACUUGCCUCGAGAUGA
RNAcentral lists this ribosomal RNA (1256 nucleotides) under Serratia liquefaciens. Its description in RNAcentral is "partial 23S ribosomal RNA". It matches the Rfam family "Bacterial large subunit ribosomal RNA", at positions 1572 to 2807 of the family's 2925-position model. Lineage: Bacteria; Pseudomonadati; Pseudomonadota; Gammaproteobacteria; Enterobacterales; Yersiniaceae. The record is from RNAcentral.